This 253-nucleotide ribosomal RNA is filed under the name uncultured bacterium. RNAcentral's name for it is "partial 16S ribosomal RNA". It matches the Rfam family "Bacterial small subunit ribosomal RNA", at positions 524 to 776 of the family's 1533-position model. The record is from RNAcentral.
UACGUAGGGGGCAAGCGUUGUCCGGAUUUAUUGGGCGUAAAGAGCGUGUAGGCGGCCAUGUAGGUCCGUUGUGAAAACUCGAGGCUCAACCUCGAGACGCCGAUGGAAACCAUGUGGCUAGAGUCCGGAAGAGGAGAGUGGAAUUCCUGGUGUAGCGGUGAAAUGCGCAGAUAUCAGGAAGAACGCCCGUGGCUAAGGCGGCUCUCUAGUACGGUACUGACGCUGAGACGCGAAAGCGUGGGGAGCGAACAGG